UACGUAGGGCGCAAGCGUUGUCCGGAAUUAUUGGGCGUAAAGAGCUCGUAGGCGGCUUGUCACGUCGGGUGUGAAAGCCCGGGGCUUAACCCCGGGUCUGCAUUCGAUACGGGCUGGCUAGAGUGUGGUAGGGGAGACUGGAAUUCCUGGUGUAGCGGUGAAAUGCGUAGAUAUCUGGAGGAACACCGGUGGCGAAGGCGCCCACCUGGCCUGCUACUGACGCUGAGGCGCGAAAGCAUGGGGAGCGAACGGG
RNAcentral lists this ribosomal RNA (253 nucleotides) under uncultured bacterium. RNAcentral's name for it is "partial 16S ribosomal RNA". It matches the Rfam family "Bacterial small subunit ribosomal RNA", at positions 524 to 776 of the family's 1533-position model. The record is from RNAcentral.